RNAcentral lists this long non-coding RNA (411 nucleotides) under Homo sapiens (human). RNAcentral describes it as "HSALNT0404268". The record is from RNAcentral. Lineage: Eukaryota; Metazoa; Chordata; Mammalia; Primates; Hominidae.
UCCCUAUAAGAGGAGGGUGGAGGGCAAUUUCAGACACAGGCAUUGAGGAGCAGGCAAUAGGAAAAGGAGGCCAACACCUAUAAGAGAAGGGUGGAGGGCAAUUUCAGACACAGGCAUAGAGGAGAAGGCAAUAGGAAAAGGAGGCCAACACCUAUAAGAGAAGGGUGGAGGGCAAUUUCAGACACAGGCAUAGAGGAGCAGGCAAUAGGAAAAGGAGGCCAACACCUAUAAGAGAAGGGUGGAGGGCAAUUUCAGACACAGGCAUUGAGGAGCAGGCAAUAGGAAAAGGAGGCCAACACCUAUAAGAGAAGGGUGGAGGGCAAUUUCAGACACAGGCAUAGAGGAGAAGGCAAUAGGAAAAGGAGGCCAACACCUAUAAGAGAAGGGUGGAGGGCAAUUUCAGACACAGGC